RNAcentral lists this transfer RNA (70 nucleotides) under Dipodomys ordii (Ord's kangaroo rat). It matches the Rfam family "tRNA". From Rfam's summary of the family: Transfer RNA (tRNA) molecules are approximately 80 nucleotides in length. Lineage: Eukaryota; Metazoa; Chordata; Mammalia; Rodentia; Heteromyidae. The record is from Rfam by way of RNAcentral.
GGGAAUGUGACUCAGUGGUAGAGUGCUUGCCUGGCAUGCAUGAAGCCCUGGGUUCAAUUCCUCAGUACCA